This 1693-nucleotide ribosomal RNA is filed under the name Gempylus serpens (snake mackerel). RNAcentral's name for it is "16S rRNA". It matches the Rfam family "Bacterial large subunit ribosomal RNA". The record is from RNAcentral. Lineage: Eukaryota; Metazoa; Chordata; Actinopteri; Scombriformes; Gempylidae.
CGCCAACCAGCUAGCCCAACCAAGCAAGACCAACAACCCAACAUAAAUAAACCCACACGCACUUCCCCCCACCCGCAACAAAACAUUUUUCCCCCUUAGUAUGGGCGACAGAAAAGGGAUCCAAGGAGCAAUAGAGAAAGUACCGCAAGGGAAAGCUGAAAGAGAAGUGAAACAACUCAGUUAAGCCUAAAAAAGCAGAGACUCAUCCUCGUACCUUUUGCAUCAUGAUUUAGCCAGUAUUACCCAAGCGAAGAGCACUUUAGUUUGGGCCCCCGAAACUACGUGAGCUACUCCAAGACAGCCUAGUCAAUAGGGCAAACCCGUCUCUGUGGCAAAAGAGUGGGAAGAGCUUUGAGUAGAGAUGACAGAUCUACCGAACCUAGUUAUAGCUGGUUGCCUGAGAAUUGGAUAGAAGUUCAGCCUCCAGGUUUCUCUACUCACCGCGGUCUUACCCCAGCCGACACCCAAAGAAAUCUAGAGAGUUAGUCGAAGGGGGUACAGCCCCUUUGAGCCAAGAUACAACUUUCCCAGGAGGGUAAAGAUCAUAAUCGAUUAAGGCGACAAUGCCCGGGUGGGCCUAAAAGCAGCCAUCCCUACAGAAAGCGUUAAAGCUUAAGCAUUAGCCCUCAACCACAUAUUCCGAUCAACCAAUCCCAGCCCCCUAACAUUAUCAGGCCUUCUCAUGCGGACAUGAGAGCGCACAUGCUAAUAUGAGUAAUAAGAGAGUACCCCUCUCUCCUUGCACACGUGUAAAUCGGAACGAACCCCCACCGAAACUUAACGGCCCCAACCAAAGAGGGUAAUGAACAACAAAAAGAUAACCAGAAAAUCAUCCAAAAAGUAACCGUUAAUCCCACACUGGUGUGCACUUAAGGAAAGACUAAGAGAAAAAGAAGGAACUCGGCAAACAUUUUUAGGCCUCGCCUGUUUACCAAAAACAUCGCCUCUUGCAAAUGAAGAAUAAGAGGUCCCGCCUGCCCUGUGACUAAAUGUUUAACGGCCGCGGUAUUUUAACCGUGCGAAGGUAGCGCAAUCACUUGUCUCUUAAAUGGGGACCUGUAUGAAUGGCAUAACGAGGGCUCAACUGUCUCCUUUUUCCGGUCAAUGAAAUUGAUCUCCCCGUGCAGAAGCGGGGAUAAAAACAUAAGACGAGAAGACCCUAUGGAGCUUUAGACACCAAGGCAUAUCAUGUUAAACACCCCCGGAUAAGGGCCUGAACCAAAUGUCCCAUGCCCCUAUGUCUUAGGUUGGGGCGACCCCGAGGAAAUAAAAAACCCCCGAGUGGAAUGGGAGUAUUAACUCCUACAACCAAGAGCUGCAGCUCUAAUUAACAGAAUUUCUGACCAAAAAAGAUCCGGCACAGCCGAUCAACGGACCAAGUUACCCUAGGGAUAACAGCGCAAUCCCCUUUUAGAGCCCAUAUCGACAAGGGGGUUUACGACCUCGAUGUUGGAUCAGGACAUCCUAAUGGUGCAGCCGCUAUUAAGGGUUCGUUUGUUCAACGAUUAAAGUCCUACGUGAUCUGAGUUCAGACCGGAGUAAUCCAGGUCAGUUUCUAUCUAUGACAUGCUCUUUUCUAGUACGAAAGGACCGAAAAGAGGAGGCCAAUGCUAGAAGCACGCCUCACCCCUCCUAGUGAAAACAACUAAAAUAGGCAAAAGGGCAUACCCCUACAAGCCAAAGAUAAUGGCAU